Non-coding RNA from Lepisosteus oculatus (spotted gar), 1071 nucleotides. NCBI's taxonomy places the organism in Eukaryota, Metazoa, Chordata, Actinopteri, Semionotiformes, Lepisosteidae. The record is from RefSeq and is a predicted model, not a curated record.
AACACAACUGCUGCGCUCCUCCAGGAAAAAAAUACAACAAUCGUCCAGUGUGACAACGGGUCUUCAGCUUACACCAUCUGUACUUCUCCUCUGGACCUGGAGCAGGGAGACACAGGAGGUCCCCUGGUCUGCAAAUGGAACUCCAUUUGGAUUCAGGCCAGUGUGAUUGUCCCUGGCAACAGCACCACGCGCGCUCUCUCAACAACGUCGUUCAUAACGGUCUCACGUUACGCGAGCUUCCUGCAGGAGACUGUGAACUCCAGAGUUCCCCUCAUCUCCAAAAGCAGCCCCAGUGCCCUCUACACCCCCUUCACCCACACAGUCCUCCUCCUGGCUGCACUCCACCUUCUGCUGGCUGCCUGGAUCUCCACAUUCUGAGCCCUCCUUCCCAAACUUUCACUGACAGCUACAGACACACUGAACACCUGAAGAAUGAAACACAUUUGAGUUUUAAACACAGAGAUCCUUUCCUCAGAUCAAUGUAACAUAAACCUUCAGAUCCUGAAUCUUAAUCACCUUCUCGGCCUCAUGAUCUACAGUCCAUGUCACACAGCUCCGCACAGGAUGUAAGAGCUUAAAACUCUUACAUAAAUCCUCAUGGCUAGUUGGGCAAGUUCCAUGUUUUUAACAAAAAGGGGGAACAGACGUCACUGAAUUCAGCUCAACAGAAUCUGCUGACAGCUGAAACCCUCCUCCCCUCAAAAUCCCAUGCUGCCUCAGAAUCGCUGGUAUGAAUCUCCCAUUGUUAUCAGAAUCCAGCUUAGCCAGCGCUCAGAUAGCGAUUCAUCAUCACCGACAUCCCCUGAUAGACAUUGGUCAGCAUCAAUCUCACUCAACUUUACCCACACAACAUCAAUCCUCGACAGCAAUUGGGCAGCAGGAUUCUCCCUGCUGAUUGGUCAACAAGGAACCCGCUCCACAUUGACUGGUCCUGCAUCACCCAAUCUUUCUGUGUUUGAGAAAACCACUGUUUGACUUCAGUGUGCUCAGCUGCUGUCACGCCCAGUACACCUAGAGGGCUCUGUACUUCUCUCCUGUUCCUAGUUCCCUGUGAUUAUUCAUGUCUUUCUG